AUCCCCCAAAUCAAGGGGGGGAUGAGAACCACCGACCGGGGUUCGACAACUGGCGCAGCCAGUUGGACAGACGACGAGCUUGCGAGGAGACUGCCCGAAGGGCGAGCGCAGCGAGUCAAUCCCCCCCUCACCGCCA
Molecule: small RNA, 136 nt
Filed under: Salmonella enterica subsp. enterica serovar Cerro
Lineage: Bacteria; Pseudomonadati; Pseudomonadota; Gammaproteobacteria; Enterobacterales; Enterobacteriaceae
Description: RtT sRNA
Rfam family: RtT RNA
About the family: This family represents a bacterial cis-regulatory element known as RtT RNA. The exact function of RtT is unknown although it is thought that it may be involved in changing the cellular response in relation to amino acid starvation.
Source: RNAcentral